AUUGAACGCUGGCGGCAUGCCUUACACAUGCAAGUCGAACGGCAGCACGGGUGCUUUCACCUUGUGGCGAUUGGCGCGCGGGUGAGUAAUACAUCUGGACAUGUCCUGUAUUGGGGUAUAGCCCGUCCAAAGCCGGAUUACUACCACAUACUAUCUUCUUAUGCAGCCUGGUUCCCUUCUGGCCUCCCGCUUUGGUGUUGCCCAUUGGCUGAUUAGCUCGUUGGUGGGGUAAAGGCCUACCAAGGCCACGAUCAGUAGCUGAUCUGAGAGGGUGACCAGCCACACUGGGACUGAGACACGGUCCAGACUCCUACGGGAGGCAGCAGUAGGGAAUUUUGGACAAUGGGCGAAAGCCUGAUCCAGCAAUGCCGCGUGUGUGAAGAAGGCCUUCGGGUUGUAAAGCACUGUUGUUAGGAAAGAAAAAAUGGGUACGAAUACGGGCGGGGGAUGACGGUACCGGAAGAAUAAGCAACGGCUAACUACGUG
Molecule: ribosomal RNA, 486 nt
Filed under: uncultured bacterium
Lineage: Bacteria
Description: partial 16S ribosomal RNA
Rfam family: Bacterial small subunit ribosomal RNA
Source: RNAcentral